RNAcentral lists this ribosomal RNA (297 nucleotides) under Mucor racemosus. RNAcentral's name for it is "5.8S ribosomal RNA". The stretch from base 141 to 293 matches the Rfam family "5.8S ribosomal RNA". From Rfam's summary of the family: 5.8S ribosomal RNA (5.8S rRNA) is a component of the large subunit of the eukaryotic ribosome. It is transcribed by RNA polymerase I as part of the 45S precursor that also contains 18S and 28S rRNA. Lineage: Eukaryota; Fungi; Mucoromycota; Mucoromycetes; Mucorales; Mucoraceae. The record is from RNAcentral.
AGGGAUGUUCCAAUGUUAUAAGGAUAGACAUUGGAAAUGUUAACCGAGUCAUAAUCAGGUUUAGGCCUGGUAUCCUAUUAUUAUUUACCAAAUGAAUUCAGAAUUAAUAUUGUAACAUAGACCUAAAAAAUCUAUAAAACAACUUUUAACAACGGAUCUCUUGGUUCUCGCAUCGAUGAAGAACGUAGCAAAGUGCGAUAACUAGUGUGAAUUGCAUAUUCAGUGAAUCAUCGAGUCUUUGAACGCAACUUGCGCUCAUUGGUAUUCCAAUGAGCACGCCUGUUUCAGUAUCAAAAC